Molecule: RNA transcript, 3156 nt
Organism: Lynx canadensis (Canada lynx)
Lineage: Eukaryota; Metazoa; Chordata; Mammalia; Carnivora; Felidae
Gene: HNRNPA2B1
Gene name: heterogeneous nuclear ribonucleoprotein A2/B1
Exons: 12
Source: RefSeq, a predicted model, not a curated record
AGACGCGUUGGUCGGGGGGAAGGUUCUAGAAAAGCGGCGGCAGCGGCUCUAGCGGCAGUAGCAGCAGCGCCGGCUCCCGUGUGGAGGUGCUCUUAGCGGUGUUGUUUCUCGAGCAGCAGCAGCUCUCACUACAGCGCCAGGACGAGUCCGGUUCGUGUUCGUCCGCGGAGAUCUCUCUCAUCUCGCUCGGCUGCGGGAAAUCGGGCUGAGGCGACUGAGUCCGCGAUGGAGAAAACUUUAGAAACUGUUCCUUUGGAGAGGAAAAAGAGAGAAAAGGAACAGUUCCGUAAACUUUUUAUUGGUGGCUUGAGCUUUGAAACCACAGAAGAAAGUUUGAGGAACUACUACGAGCAAUGGGGGAAACUUACAGACUGUGUGGUCAUGAGAGAUCCUGCAAGCAAAAGAUCAAGAGGAUUUGGUUUUGUAACUUUUUCGUCCAUGGCUGAGGUUGACGCUGCCAUGGCUGCAAGACCUCAUUCAAUUGAUGGGAGAGUGGUUGAGCCAAAACGUGCUGUUGCAAGAGAGGAAUCUGGAAAGCCAGGGGCUCACGUAACUGUGAAGAAGCUGUUUGUUGGUGGAAUUAAAGAAGAUACUGAGGAACAUCAUCUUAGAGAUUACUUCGAAGAGUAUGGAAAGAUUGAUACCAUUGAGAUAAUUACUGAUAGGCAGUCUGGAAAGAAAAGAGGCUUUGGAUUUGUUACCUUUGAUGAUCACGAUCCCGUGGAUAAAAUUGUGUUGCAGAAAUACCAUACCAUCAAUGGUCAUAAUGCAGAAGUAAGAAAGGCUCUGUCUAGACAAGAAAUGCAGGAAGUCCAGAGUUCUAGAAGUGGAAGAGGAGGCAACUUCGGUUUUGGAGAUUCUCGUGGUGGUGGUGGAAAUUUUGGACCAGGCCCGGGAAGUAACUUUAGAGGAGGAUCUGAUGGAUAUGGAAGUGGUCGCGGAUUUGGGGAUGGCUAUAAUGGGUAUGGAGGAGGACCUGGAGGUGGCAAUUUUGGAGGUAGCCCUGGUUAUGGAGGAGGAAGAGGAGGAUAUGGUGGUGGAGGACCUGGAUAUGGCAACCAGGGUGGGGGCUACGGAGGUGGUUAUGACAACUAUGGAGGAGGAAAUUACGGAAGUGGAAAUUACAAUGAUUUUGGAAAUUAUAACCAGCAACCUUCUAACUAUGGUCCAAUGAAGAGUGGAAACUUUGGUGGUAGCAGGAACAUGGGGGGACCAUAUGGUGGAGGAAACUAUGGUCCUGGAGGCAGUGGAGGAAGUGGGGGUUAUGGAGGGAGAAGCCGAUAUUGAGCUUCUUCCUAUUUGCCAUGGGUAAGUAGCUUUUGAGUUUUACCUUAUUAUUGUCUUGGGAGAUCUAGCUGCCAGGAGUAAAAGCUUUUUAGGAUCAUGUUAUCUUUCCUUAAAAUCUGGUUAGAUGGAUAAUUUCAUAACCUAUUUUUUUUUUACUCUUUACUUCUGUUGAAACAGGCUUCACUGUAUAAAUAGGAGAGGAUGAGAGCCCAGAGGUAACAGAACAGCUUCAGGUUAUCGAAAUAACAAUGUUAAGGAAACUCUUAUCUCAGUCAUGCAUAAAUAUGCAGUGAUAUGGCAGAAGACACCAGAGCAGAUGCAGAGAGCCAUUUUGUGAAUGGAUUGGAUUAUUUAAUAACAUUACCUUACUGUGGAGGAAGGAUUGUAAAAAAAAAAAAAAUGCCUUUGAGACAGUUUCUUAGCUUUUUAAUUGUUGUUUCUUUCUAGUGGUCUUUGUAAGAGUGUAGAAGCAUUCCUUCUUUGAUAAUGUUAAAUUUGUAAGUUUCAGGUGACAUGUGAAACCUUUUUUAAGAUUUUUCUCAAAGUUUUGAAAAGCUAUUAGCCAGGAUCAUGGUGUAAUAAGACAUAACGUUUUUCCUUUAAAAAAAUUUAAGUGCGUGUGUAGAGUUAAGAAGCUGUUGUACAUUUAUGAUUUAAUAAAAUAAUUCUAAAGGAAAUUGUGUAAUUAUAGACUUUUUAUUUUAAAUAAGUUAAGGAGUGGGUAGUAUAAUUAAGGUCCUUUGCAAAGUUGUUGUUAUAUUUGUGUAAGAUAAAUGCUGGUCAGAUAUAAGUGUGUUGUCUGCAAUUCAUCAGGAUUAAAUUAUCUAGAUAACUUAAGGGAUAUCUCUGCAAAGAGAAACACCUUUUUAGAUCUUUUAGAUGCUGCUUCUUCAAUGCAAGGAAAGGAAAUAACCCCAGCGAGGUACUCUUCAGGGAUACAGGUCUAGUACAAGAGAACUCUUGACGGCUACUAAGUUCAGCCAGUCUUAAAAAACUGUGCUGUUUCUACAAAGCUUUAACUACAGUAGUUUAUAAGGAUGACAACGAAAGCUGAGGGUGUAGAGCAAAAUAGUUCUAAGCUUCAGUUAAACUUCUUUAGGUAAGAUCUUAUUUACUUUUCCUUUCUUAAUUUUCCUCCCCAAAAGAUAAACUAAUACUAUUCUUCAAUGGUCUUUCAGUAUAGUGGUUCUUAUGUAGUUUAACAUAGCUAUAAAUUUGAGUUUAACAAUUUAUAAACUCAAGAGAAUCUUAUAAACCCUGUUUUCCAAUCUGUCAUUUACUUAAAUUAUUUUGGUUGUUUUUUUCCCCCCUUUUUUCCCUUCUUUCCCACCCCCUCCUCCCUCUAUGAAGAUUCAGGUGCUUAACAUAUCAUUUUUUUCCCUGCUGGAAUUUAGCAUUGAUAUGAACCAUGGACAAGUAUAUUCUGCUGCCACAAAGACUGUAAAGUGCUUCAUUUCAACAGCUGAGGCGCAAGCCAAGUGAUCAUUAAUAAAGCUUUUCUUGGUUCCUUCAGUGGUGUUGGUAGUAAAAUGGAAGGUGUCUUGCUGCAGGUAACUAAUGAAGAAGUGGUCAACCACAGAGUCUUCAAGAAAUAAGAAAUACUGUACCAUCUGAAAGUAGUUCUUGUUGGUGCCUUCAUUUAAAAAAAAGCACUUUAAGAUUAAAGGGAAAUGUUUUCUGAUAAAAUACAUCAUUUAGUACAGGUUCUUAAUAUAAAACCAUUACAAAUUGAGUACUGUUUGUAAAAGAGUAACAUCAAGUAAGCUAGAUAGAGAAAUGUAUCAUGUUUUAAAUUAGGUUUUGUGAGUAGACAGAUUAAAAUUCUAUUUUAAAUAUAAAGUUUAUAAAAUAAACACUUUUGUAUUCAAA